GCAGGAGGACGGGCAAGAAACUCUUUUGCCUGAGAAUCUGGCUUUGAGUUCUAGCCCGUCUAUCGUGC
This 68-nucleotide microRNA precursor is filed under the name anatid alphaherpesvirus 1. RNAcentral's name for it is "Anatid alphaherpesvirus 1 microRNA dev-mir-D10 precursor". Its record names the gene dev-mir-D10. The record is from miRBase by way of RNAcentral. Lineage: Duplodnaviria; Heunggongvirae; Peploviricota; Herviviricetes; Herpesvirales; Orthoherpesviridae.